Molecule: long non-coding RNA, 247 nt
Organism: Peromyscus eremicus (cactus mouse)
Lineage: Eukaryota; Metazoa; Chordata; Mammalia; Rodentia; Cricetidae
Exons: 3
Source: RefSeq, a predicted model, not a curated record
CUCAACAAGAGCUAUCACCCAUCACCAGCUAAAGACAUCACACAUACUCCAGAGCUUCCAGAGUCUCCAGACUAGCCCAUGACUAAGAUACAGAUGUGGUAUAUAAAACUGACAGCGGACACGUCAUUAAAUUGAACACAGAAACAAACGCUACCACAUUGUUAUUGGAAAACUCCACUUUUUCUUUUGAAGAAUUCAUUGGAAUUCCUGUGCUGAUUGCAUCAAAUUGGUAGAUUUGUUUGGGUAA